This is a long non-coding RNA of Homo sapiens (human), 1597 nucleotides long. Ensembl annotates it as SLC12A2 divergent transcript. Its record names the gene SLC12A2-DT. NCBI's taxonomy places the organism in Eukaryota, Metazoa, Chordata, Mammalia, Primates, Hominidae. The record is from Ensembl.
ACCCGAGGCCGGGCCGGAGCCGCAGGCCAGCCGCGAUUCCUUCGGGCGAUGCUGGGGGCUUUCCGGUCGGGGCCGCAGCCGCUUCCGGAGCCGCGGGCGAGAUUUUUAGGGCAGUUUUUAGUGUCAUUAUGUUGCUGCUACAUAUUUGGAAGAUGGAACAAGCCCAGACAAAGGAGGAUUCUUUUUUACUCAUCUUAAAUCCAUUUUAUUUUCCUUCAUCUGAGCCCCUUAAAACUAAUGUGUUACUGGUGCAAGCGGUCUUCUCUGUCUUCUUUAUGGCCAGUAAAAUUCUCCAGAAGAGAUUUAUGGCAGCCUCACUCCCAGUAGUUUCUGCAUUUAGUGAGAUAAGGAUUUUGCUACUUGAUAAUGUGUGUGGGGUCUAGAAGUCAAGGAAGACUCUCUAGGUUCAGGAAGAGGAUGGAGUAUUGAUCAAAACAGGAAGGUCAGAAAAGAACCCCUCUGGGAAGAGUUGGUGCUGAAGAUGAGAUGGAGUAAGAGAGGCAUGUUGGGCUGUCAGUUUCACUCAGGACCCAUGGCAGAAUAUUGCUACCAACGGACCAUAACAAAAACAAGAAGAAUUGAAACAUUUUGGAGGCCGGAAACACCACAUUGAUAUUUCUCUCCAGUGUGAAAUAUUUUAACCUGAAAAACUUCUAGAUGCAAUUUUCAGAUAAAAUAGGCCUAUUCUAAUGGUAAUGUAAAAGUUACACUUAUACUUUCUGUCACUGCUCAUACCUGUAAAUCCCAUGGGGGGAAAGUCAUGAUUUCCUUUAGACAUAACAGUCGUAGCCCACAAAUAAGCCGCCAUGAAAUAGUCAAGCAACAGGCCUCCAGUAGCUGCAGCUGGAGAAAACACUGGAUAAGGUGAUCCAAUUUCUGCACAAGAUCUAGUCUCUCCUCCAUAGUAGCGUUUAGCCUGGAAGUCAGUCAUUCUCAUACUGUCAAAAGCCAGGGUCCCAGAAAAGGGAAUCUUUACAGAAGCAAAUAUUUUAUGGAGGACUUGAGAGAGUGUCUCUCAAUGUUUAAGUAUCUAUUCCAUAGCAAAUUAGGAACAACAAUAGCUAGAGUUAUAAAUACAAUUCAUUAUGUGUAUUUUGAAAUUGAAUUUUGAGCGAUUAGCAUAAAAAUACUGAAUAUGCAUUGCAAAUUAGCAUGCCAACCUUGCUAAAUGAAAUAACAGCCCUGACACGUACUUAAGUAGAAAGUGGAACUACACAAAAAUGGAGGAAUAUCAGUAGAUAACAUGUAAACCAGGACGAUGAAAAAAGAGGACACAAGUAAGAUCACUGCGGGUAUAUUAUUCUUAGCUACAUAUAGCUAACUGAGUCACCAUUUUCUAAGGAGGAAAAAUUAGAAGGAGUGCUGAAAGGGAAUAACUCCAGACUGUUAAUUACUUACAGUGAAUAUAUGUUUGCAUAUAUUUGCUUAAAGUAGCUGUUAAGGAAGCUCUAUUUAAUUUAUUUGUCAGUGUGGGCUGAGUCAUCAACAACUAUACUUUUCACUUUUUUCAUAGAAUCCAAGACAAGAAGAAUCUUUCAAGUGUUGCUAACCAGAACUGAGCAGAUCCAAGUAGCAAUCGUAGCCAAGCCAUUAGUCC